AUUCGUAAUUCGCUAUUCUCUAAUACCAGCGGCGGCAAUGUUUUAGAAAUUUUAAUGUCAUUUUUACGCGACAAGCAACCGUUUUCUCUUUGUGGGAACCGAUGUGAUCAUCUUUACGUCUGCAAGAAAUCUUUGUUUGAUAAUGCUAAUUUAUUAAAGAGUAAUUAAUCUUGGAAUGGAGGAAUGUUGUGUCAUUGCUUCAGCUCCAUCCAAUCCCAAGCCAAUGGUUGUUUUUUCUGAGUAGUUUAUGUAGCUUUCAGCGGCUAGAAUUCUGGUGGAUGUUGCAAUUUGAUGCCUUGAUGAUGUAGACUGGCGACAGAAUUGCCAAAUUCUUCAAUACAUUCAAAUGGCAAAGCCCUACACAUCGUCAAAUCUCAUAAAAUGCAAUUGUUGUUAAUGUAAUGUGGAAGACUAGCCUACUUACUACCGUCGAGGAAUGGGUAGUCUGUAUAGCCAACAACAGGGUCAAAUGUAUAAAAAGUGCUUCUAUCAUACUUGUUAAGCGCAGCAUUGAGCUCGUAUCUCCUUGGUAGAUCAGGGUUAGCCAGAAACCAGCGUCCAAGUGCAACUAAAUCAGCACCUCCACUAGCAAUCACUUCAUUACCAUUGUCUCUAGUGUAUCCUCCAGCAACAAUAAAAGUACCCUUGAAAGCCUUUCUCAUAGGCAGAAGACUAUGUCCUGUCGGCUGCGCCUCAAACUGAGUGAUCAUCCGAGGUUCUAUCACAUGACAGUAGAGAAUUCCAAAUUUGUUGAGGGACUCAACCACGUACAAGCCAAGAGCUUCAGGGUUGGAAUCUGCACAGUCGUUAUAAUCCGCAAAUGGUGAGAGUCUAAUGCCAACUCUAUAAGCUCCAAUCUCAUCAGCUACUGCUUUAACUACUUCAAAUAGAAAUCGACAACGAUUUUCUAAGCUCCCUCCAUAUGUGUCUGUCCUAUCAUUUACCUUAUCUUUCAAGAAUUGAUCAAUUAGGUACCCGUUGGCUCCAUGAAUCUCCACUCCAUCGAAACCUGUAACUUGAAAUUCAUUUGUCAGAAAUCAUAUUUGCUAAUAGCCAAUGCCUGCGGAAGAGACAGCUUCUAACUUCGCAGUUCUAACAGGAGUGUUUUGAUUUCUGAUGUAGAUACAUAGCCGUUUUUCUCUAUGCUUUGUGGCUUACUGGCUUUGUGCUGUGUAUGUCCUAAAUUGGUGCACCAGUCAUAACAGUCUUAUACUAAAAAGUUAAGCAUUACCUGCUUCUAUAGCAUUUCUUGCAGCAAUUCUAUAGUCCUCGACAAUCUGAGGGAUCUCCUCAGUCAAGAGCCGACGAGGAGGAGGAAAUGCAGCUGGAGUAGUGCCAUCAAUGUGAAAUUUAGAUUUUAUUGGCUUGUCAGUACUAGAGAUGGGAGGAUGACCAUUUGGCUGAAAGCCUGUGGAAUUGGAAGCAUGCAAUACAGUUGAAAUUUUUCUGCCAACUAUUAAUCAAACACAUUUAACAAGAUCAUAAACAUUCAAAUCAUAACCAUAGGUACAUAGUUAAAAUGAAAUUCUGUUGUUUUCUAAUCCAUUGAAUAAAGGAAAAUGGGCCAUCUUCCUUACAGUAAUCAGAAGCCCUUCCAGCAUGCCAGAGCUGACAAAAAAAUAUGCCUCCUUUCUGAUGAACACCAUGCACAACGGGUUUCCAAGCUUCCACAUGUUCUCUUGUCCAAAUUCCGGGAAUGUUUGGGCCACCUAUAGCAGUUUCUGAAACUGCUGAUGCUUCUCCAAUCAAGAAACCACCCUUCGUUGUUCUUUGAGAGUAAUACAAGAUGGCAUGUGGUUGAGCUGUGAAGUUGUAAGAUCUCAUCCUUGUCAAGGGAGCCAAAACUAUCCUAUGAGAGAGAUCAAACUUUCCCAUCUUGUAAGGAGUUAACAGGAGCAUUGGUGAUUCCUCCAUUUCCAUGGUCUUGGAGCUUUCUUCUUCCGCAGCCAUGGUGAUGAUGUAUCCCACGCAAGUCAACAAGGUCAAAGAGUAAAG
Molecule: unclassified non-coding RNA, 1995 nt
Filed under: Hevea brasiliensis (rubber tree)
Lineage: Eukaryota; Viridiplantae; Streptophyta; Magnoliopsida; Malpighiales; Euphorbiaceae
Source: RNAcentral